UGUGCUUUCCAGGUGUCUAAUUACUGAAG
RNAcentral lists this non-coding RNA (29 nucleotides) under Mus musculus (house mouse). Lineage: Eukaryota; Metazoa; Chordata; Mammalia; Rodentia; Muridae. The record is from RNAcentral.